This 563-nucleotide ribosomal RNA is filed under the name Colletotrichum gloeosporioides. Its description in RNAcentral is "eukaryotic LSU rRNA". The stretch from base 200 to 353 matches the Rfam family "5.8S ribosomal RNA". Lineage: Eukaryota; Fungi; Ascomycota; Sordariomycetes; Glomerellales; Glomerellaceae. The record is from RNAcentral.
GUUGGUGAACCAGCGGAGGGAUCAUUACUGAGUUUACGCUCUAUAACCCUUUGUGAACAUACCUAUAACUGUUGCUUCGGCGGGUAGGGUCUCCGCGACCCUCCCGGCCUCCCGCCUCCGGGCGGGUCGGCGCCCGCCGGAGGAUAACCAAACUCUGAUUUAACGACGUUUCUUCUGAGUGGUACAAGCAAAUAAUCAAAACUUUUAACAACGGAUCUCUUGGUUCUGGCAUCGAUGAAGAACGCAGCGAAAUGCGAUAAGUAAUGUGAAUUGCAGAAUUCAGUGAAUCAUCGAAUCUUUGAACGCACAUUGCGCCCGCCAGCAUUCUGGCGGGCAUGCCUGUUCGAGCGUCAUUUCAACCCUCAAGCUCUGCUUGGUGUUGGGGCCCUACAGCUGAUGUAGGCCCUCAAAGGUAGUGGCGGACCCUCCCGGAGCCUCCUUUGCGUAGUAACUUUACGUCUCGCACUGGGAUCCGGAGGGACUCUUGCCGUAAAACCCCCCAAUUUUCCAAAGGUUGACCUCGGAUCAGGUAGGAAUACCCGCUGAACUUAAGCAUAUCAAUA